This 497-nucleotide ribosomal RNA is filed under the name uncultured bacterium. RNAcentral's name for it is "partial 16S ribosomal RNA". It matches the Rfam family "Bacterial small subunit ribosomal RNA", at positions 28 to 507 of the family's 1533-position model. The record is from RNAcentral.
GAUGAACGCUGGCGGCGUGCCUAAUACAUGCAAGUCGAGCGAACGGACGAGAAGCUUGCUUCUCUGAUGUUAGCGGCGGACGGGUGAGUAACACGUGGAUAACCUACCUAUAAGACUGGGAUAACUUCGGGAAACCGGAGCUAAUACCGGAUAAUAUUUUGAACCGCAUGGUUCAAAAGUAAAAGAGGGUCUUGCUGUCACUUAUAGAUGGAUCCGCGCUGCAUUAGCUAGUUGGUAAGGUAACGGCUUACCAAGGCAACGAUGCAUAGCCGACCUGAGAGGGUGAUCGGCCACACUGGAACUGAGACACGGUCCAGACUCCUACGGGAGGCAGCAGUAGGGAAUCUUCCGCAAUGGGCGAAAGCCUGACGGAGCAACGCCGCAUGAGUGAUGAAGGUCUUCGGAUCGUAAAACUCUGUUAUUAGGGAAGAACAUAUGUGUAAGUAACUGUGCACAUCUUGACGGUACCUAAUCAGAAAGCCACGGCUAACUACGUG